UAUAGUGUCUUGGCCAAAUCUUGUGCCAGCAGUCGCGGUAAGACAAGAGAGACUAGCGUUUUUCAUCUUUAUUAGGUUUAAAGGGUACCUAGACGGUUUAUCUAGCCUUGAUAAGGGAACAGAUUAAACUAGAGUUAAAUGUGGGAGGUAGAUUUAGUAUUGAAAGAGAAGAGAUGAAAUUUUUUUAUACUUUCGAGACUGAUAAUGGUGAAAACAAUCCUCUAUGUACUAACUGACGUUAAGGGACGAAGGCAUGGUUAUCGAAUAGGAUUAGAUACCCUAAUAGUCCAUGCAGAAAAUGAUGAAUGUCAUAAAUAUUAUAGCGCUUACAGCGUUUAAUGUUUAUAAAUGAAAGUGUAAGCAUUCCACCUCAAGAGUACUACGGCAACGUAUAAACUGAAAUCAUUAGACCGUUUCUGAAACCAGUAGUGAAGUAUGUUAUUUAAUUCGAUAACCCUCGAAGAACCUUACCUCAAUUUGAAUUAUAAUGUUAUAACAUUAUAACAAGCGUUGCACGGCUGUCUUCAGUUAAUGUCGUGAGAUCUGGUUAACCC
Molecule: ribosomal RNA, 554 nt
Filed under: Scolecobasidium mirabile
Lineage: Eukaryota; Fungi; Ascomycota; Dothideomycetes; Venturiales; Sympoventuriaceae
Description: SSU rRNA
Rfam family: Bacterial small subunit ribosomal RNA
Source: RNAcentral